AGGUAAGAAGUUCCCACUCGAGUUCACUUUGUGCCAAGUUGGAAGAAAGUGAGCACUUGGCAGGAGCACCCAUUGCCCUGGUCCUACAUGCCACUGAGAUAUAUAUCAGAUCUGACUGCCUUCCUGUGAUCGAUUCCUCUGAGGACUCUGCUUCCUGGGAGAGAUGGGAACCAACAACUUAGAUCAUCUGUGAUCAUGGGCCUGGGAUCCCAUGGAAGACACAAGAUGGAUCACCCAGAGGAGCCCCGUGUAGCCCAGACAUUGCCUGAGUCACCCUUUACUGUCUGAAGACCUGACUUGAGCCCCGCCAAUUCCACUGUCUUGAAAGUCUGAAAUUCUCCCUAGAAUUGGUGCUUGCACCCAAAUGUUUACACUCUCAGGCUCACAUAUGUCUUCAAA
Molecule: long non-coding RNA, 399 nt
Organism: Tupaia belangeri chinensis (Chinese tree shrew)
Lineage: Eukaryota; Metazoa; Chordata; Mammalia; Scandentia; Tupaiidae
Exons: 3
Source: RefSeq, a predicted model, not a curated record